AUUCCAGCUCCAAUAGCGUAUAUUAAAGUUGUUGCAGUUAAAAAGCUCGUAGUUGAACUUCUGGCUAUUCUUCCAGCUGGCUUCGGUCGCUGUAAGAGUGGUCAUCCGCUUGGGAACUACGUUCGAACUUCACCGUUCGGCGUAAGGAACAGGCAUUUUACUUAGAAAAAAUUAGAGUGUUCAAGGCAGGCUAUCGCCCUGAAUACACAAGCUUGGAAUAAUGAAAUAGGACUAUUUCCAUUUUAUUGGUUAUUGGAAUUAGUAAUGAUUAAUAGGGACAGUUGGGGACAUUAGUAUUUAAUUGUCAGAGGUGAAAUUCUUGGAUUUAUUAAAGACUAACUUAUGCGAAAGCAUUUGUCAAGGAUGUUUUCAUUG
Molecule: ribosomal RNA, 375 nt
Rfam family: Eukaryotic small subunit ribosomal RNA